AAACUUUCAACAAUGGAUCUCUUGCGUUCCGGCAUCGAUGAAGAACGCAGCGAAAUGCGAUAAACUAGUGUGAAUUGCAGAAUUCCGUGAAUCAUCGAGUCUUUGAACGCACAUUGCGCCCCCCUGGUAUUCCGGGGGGCAUGCCUGUCCGAGCGUCAUU
Molecule: ribosomal RNA, 160 nt
Filed under: Aspergillus flavus
Lineage: Eukaryota; Fungi; Ascomycota; Eurotiomycetes; Eurotiales; Aspergillaceae
Description: 5.8S ribosomal RNA
Rfam family: 5.8S ribosomal RNA
About the family: 5.8S ribosomal RNA (5.8S rRNA) is a component of the large subunit of the eukaryotic ribosome. It is transcribed by RNA polymerase I as part of the 45S precursor that also contains 18S and 28S rRNA.
Source: RNAcentral